Molecule: ribosomal RNA, 443 nt
Filed under: uncultured bacterium
Lineage: Bacteria
Description: bacterial SSU rRNA
Rfam family: Bacterial small subunit ribosomal RNA
Source: RNAcentral
GUGAGGAAUAUUGGUCAAUGGGGGAAACCCUGAACCAGCGACGCCGCGUGCGGGAUGAAGGGGCUUUGCCCUGUAAACCGCUGUCGGAGGGGAAGAAAAGCCGGGUCGCCCGGCUGGGACUGUACCCUUAGAGGAAGGUUCGGCUAACUACGUGCCAGCAGCCGCGGUAAUACGUAGGAACCAAGCGUUGUCCGGAAUUACUGGGUGUAAAGGGUGCGCAGGCGGGCUUGUGCGUCAGAGGUUAAAUACCCCGGCUCAACCGGGGAAAUGCCUUUGAUACGGCAAGUCUUGAGUACGAGAGAGGAUGGUAGAAUUCCUGGUGUAGCGGUGAAAUGCGUAGAUAUCAGGAGGAAUACCCGUGGCGAAGGCGGCCAUCUGGCUCGUUACUGACGCUCAGGCACGAAAGCGUGGGGAGCAAACAGGAUUAGAAACCCCGGUAGUCC